CAAAGAACUUGUCGCGAACGCCACUGUCUGAAACAGAGAACCAGACCAUGGCGACCAAAUGCAAACAACCUCGCGAAGCCCCACCGCGAGCAGCUCACCUCCUUGCCACCAAACAUUGCGCCACCGCAAGUUGAAGAUGAAGAAAGAAAAGAGAAGCAGCGAACCAGAAGAAAGAAGCCAUGGAUGGAGCGGAAAACGCGAGAAAAAAACGCACAGCACCAGAGAACGAAAAAGGCAAACCAGAAAAGGAAUCUCUCCUUAGGGUUUCAAAUUUGGGAAUUUUCCCAAAUUAGGGUUACAGAGUCAUUCAAAUUGGAAAUUCUGGAUGUUAAUUUCCCUUUUCAAACCGUAGAAUUAAUGCACAAAAUUGAUUAUAGAUUUAUA
This 384-nucleotide long non-coding RNA is filed under the name Vigna radiata. RNAcentral describes it as "long non-coding RNA (VRAD_LNC009275)". Lineage: Eukaryota; Viridiplantae; Streptophyta; Magnoliopsida; Fabales; Fabaceae. The record is from RNAcentral.